RNAcentral lists this ribosomal RNA (255 nucleotides) under uncultured archaeon. RNAcentral's name for it is "partial 16S ribosomal RNA". It matches the Rfam family "Archaeal small subunit ribosomal RNA", at positions 728 to 982 of the family's 1478-position model. The record is from RNAcentral.
AUUAGACUACCGUGUAGUCCCAGCUGUAAACGAUGCAGGCUAGGUGUUUGGACGGCCACGUGCCGUUCUAGUGCCGCAGGGAAGCUGUUAAGCCUGCCGCCUGGGGAGUACGAUCGCAAGAUUGAAACUUAAAGGAAUUGGCGGGGGAGCACCACAAGGGGUGAAGCUUGCGGUUUAAUUGGAGUCAACGCCGGAAAUCUCACCGGGAGCGACAGCAGUGUGAAGGCCAGAUUAAAGGUCUUGCCAGACGAGCUG